AAAGAUGAAAAGAAGUCAUUCUCUGGUCACAAUUAAUCGCUACAUUUCUCUCCCUUAAGGCAAGUAGAAGUCUCCUUUUCAACACUAUAAAUUUGUUACAAGAAACAGGGACCGAACAGCAUAGAAGUUUAUGAUGCAACCAGAUCAGGUGUUUCAGCUUCAACUGACAAUAAAGCAGUGUUUACUUUACCCAUCCAGUUGUCCAGCCUAUCUCGUAAAGAUUUGAUCUGAGAAAUCCCUAAAACUCGGGGUUGCACCCAUGACACAUGCACAGUCCCUUCGACUUGAUCAAUUAUUCCCUCAAUCAGAUGAACCUGCAGUAGUUCAAACUUUCUUAGCUUAAGAUACAAAGAGAAUGAUACACUUGUGACGGUUUUAUGAAAGUUACAGGUACUAACCAAAGAGAAACUGCAAACUGUUAUAGAACAAGACGAACACUGGUGUGAGAAGCACCAGUAGUUUACAUGCAAGUUCUAGGUCCAGGGCUCAGGGCUUAAAAAUAUAAUAUAAAUGCAUUUACCACUGAAUUUAUAAGAAAGGUAUUCACAUUUUACUAAGAUCUAAUCUGUACUAGGGUAAUUCAACUCGAUAUCAAUCAUGAUAAUUCAUUUUUUCCUGACUAAUUGCUAUCUCAACAGAUAAGAAGCUCUACAGCUUUUUUAUUUGGCAAUACCAUGUCUCAGACGUAACAAAUCAUCAAAGCUGAGAACAAUUACUACUAGGUUCACUUUAUCUGCCCAGAAAGUAUAAAAUUAUAUAUGAUACAUGUCUCCCAUUAUACCAGAAGAGUAAUAAUAGAUAUAAAAACUAGCUGGUAACCCAUAAGUUUAUUACAAAGCACUUACUGAUAGGCUUUUCAUUAGAAGGUACUCCACAUCCUCUAUCUUGAGUUUUGUGCGCUCCGCGAUGAUACUUAAUGGAAUGGUUCUAUCCUCUGAUGGUCGACUGAAAAGAAGCACAUUUAGUUGAUAACUCUAUGGGUGACCAUGAUCAAUAAGAACCUAGGAGAAUGCUUAAAAACCUGAAAAUGAUUUCCAUUAAGCAAAGAAUAUUGAUCUUUUCCAGAAGCUUUUUCUCAUUCUCCACUAAUGCUGGUUGUGCACUCAGAGCAGCAUUAUGAACAUGGCACAAUUCCUGAUAGCGGACUAAAUCACCAGAAUUGAAUGCUUCAAGAAUGUAAUAGAGCCACUCUACCUUGGUCCCAAGGAGACUCUUCAGCUGAACGAGUUAAAAAAAAUGUUUGCUGUCCGAUAAGAGAUAACACAACAGAUUGUGCACAAGACAAAUAAAUGAAACCAUUAUUUAAUCUACAAAUUAUUUUGUUUCAUUGGCAAUAAUCAGGAUCUAACAACUAAUAUUAGAAUGCUCAGAUUGAAUAUGAAUUAUCAUGAAGGGUUCAAAAUGAAGUAUCAUAUGAGGAUUUAUUCCUCUUUGAAUAUAAUCAUACAUGACAAAGAAAAUUUAUAUAGCCAUUUCUUUGAAUAGGAAACCUUGGCAUCACCAAGACGCCUACCAUUACAAACUAGAACACCAAUCCACACCACAAAUAAUCAUUAUUUAUUAAAAAAACAAGAAUAUAAUCAUGCAGCCAUUUCUUUGACUGAAAAACCUUAGCAUCCCAAGCAACCUCACAUCUCCUAUUACAAACUAAAAGACCAAGUCAAUCCCACCCCAAAUAAGCACAGGGAAAAAACUAUAGAAACAGGACUGUAUAGAACAAGCCAUAAUCACCCUAUUCACUAAUUGCCUAUGUAUACCUACAUGUAUGCAUAUUUACAUGGAUAUCCGUACAUAUUGAUGCAAGGAUAUAUUGCAACUAUACUGCUGGUGGUUGCCACAUGUUAGUAUAUAUCAUUCCUCAAACCACACAACAAAGUAUUGAUGAUUAUGAAAAAAUGAAAGAAUGAAAAAUAAACAUUGUCCAUAAUAAAAGAUUUGCGGCACUAGUUUGAAGCAUAUCUAUAUGCAUCCCGUCCUGGUAAAGCUAAAAUCAAAUUCUUGGGUAUAAACGUACAUACAUAAAUUGACUAAAUCGCAAUUAUAUAUACUUACAAUUGGAUGUGCAAGCAAUUCACCGAAAUUGUAAAUGUUCUCUCCCAGCAAUGCCGAUAGAGACAAAUCAAAAGCCAAAUCCUGAGCCAAUUAAGGUUAGUAUAUAUUAAUUGCUAGACAAAAACGGAUACAAAGAUCAGUAUCUCAUUAUUGAUAUAAAUAUUUUAAAUGGAGUACACAAAUACACUAUAAUCAUCCAAGAACACUGGUGAAUAAAUAGAUUCUGUCAAACAGUUAUUUAUAUAAUGGUUGAGGUCAUUUGUUUCAUGCUUGCAUUGUUGUUUCCUUGAUAGCUAUACAGAUAAUAUUAGCACUAACACAUGUACAGAGUGUUAUAACUCGUUAGUAUUUUUCGAGUUAAAACUUACACCUUGCCCAAUUGUAGCUACCAGCUCAUGCAAACAAAUAUAUCACUCCAAUUCCAUUAAUUAGUUUAGUAUUAAUAGCAAAAACUGAUGAUCAUACAUGCACCAUAUUCUAUGUUCACAGAAAAAUAAUUAGAUCUGUCAAAAAAGCUUUAAAGCUUAUAACUAGCAAUAUUCAGAUUCAAAACAUCGAUUGAACCAAACAAAAAUAAGAGAGACAACAUUAAAUAUAUUUCAAUUUACAUGUAAUUUUCUUGAAACAAUAGUGAAGAACCGUCAGAGAAAAUGCAUACCAGCUUGAAUGAUUCAGAUAGAGAUUCUACAGAAGUGUAUGCCAGGUAUAGAAGAGCACUUUUGUAGAACUCGGCAAAUUCUUGACGAGAUUUAUGGUACUGGGAUGAAAUCCAGUAAUAACUGGCAUGCACAGAUGGAUCAAUGUCGGUCAUGCUGUCUAGUGUACUUUUGCCAUCAUCAAUUAGUUUUUUG
Molecule: long non-coding RNA, 2903 nt
Filed under: Daucus carota (carrot)
Lineage: Eukaryota; Viridiplantae; Streptophyta; Magnoliopsida; Apiales; Apiaceae
Description: long non-coding RNA (DCAR_LNC000848)
Source: RNAcentral